Molecule: long non-coding RNA, 369 nt
Filed under: Medicago truncatula (barrel medic)
Lineage: Eukaryota; Viridiplantae; Streptophyta; Magnoliopsida; Fabales; Fabaceae
Description: long non-coding RNA (MTRU_LNC005695)
Source: RNAcentral
UCCUACCCCGGCGUCAGUAAGUGAAGAAAAUCCAAAUGUUAAUGGGGAAACUGUUCAGGCAGAGACUACAAGUGAUCCAGCCCCUCCUGAGGCCCCAUCACCGGUAGCAGAGGUUUUAGAGACCAAUACUCCAAAUCCAACUACAGUACCUGCAAGUGGUGACCCUUUCCUAUGAUUGGAAUACCUGCAAGUGGUGACCCUUUCCUAUGAUUGGAAUACCUCCCGCACUGUUGAAGUAAAUGAAUUUAUUUACAAUUCAAGAUUUGUUUACGUUUGUAAAGAAAUUAUUUUAGAUAUAAAGGAAAUCUAGUAUUAGUUUGUAACAAAUGUAUAAUUUGGUGGUACAAUUGUACCUAGCAUAUGUCUUUC